Long non-coding RNA from Bubo bubo (Eurasian eagle-owl), 3753 nucleotides. The record is from Ensembl. Lineage: Eukaryota; Metazoa; Chordata; Aves; Strigiformes; Strigidae.
CUCAGAGAGACAGUACCUUUUGCUGAGUCCAGCAUAUGGCUAACAGGAGCUAUGUCAGCAGCUGAGACCACAGCAAGUCCUGAAGCCAACUGGAUUAGGAAGCCAUUGUAUGGAUUGUUUCAAUAUAAUUCCAGUAUGAUUGGACUAGAAUCAUUAGCUGAUCCCUCAGAUACCUGGGAAAUUAUAGAGACCAUUGGGAAAGGCACUUACGGUAAGGUCUAUAAGGUCGCCAAUAAGAAAGAUGGGAGUCUGGCAGCAGUAAAGAUUCUGGAUCCUAUCAGUGAUGUAGAUGAAGAAAUUGAAGCAGAAUAUAAUAUUUUGCAGUUUCUUCCCAAUCAUCCUAAUGUUGUUAGAUUUUAUGGGAUGUUUUACAAAGCAGAUCAAUAUGUGGGAGGACAGCUCUGGCUAGUACUUGAGCUGUGCAAUGGAGGUUCUGUCACAGAGCUUGUCAAAGGCCUGCUGAAGUGUGGCCAACGGUUGGAUGAAUCUAUAAUCUCAUACAUCUUAUGUGGUGCUCUCUUGGGCCUUCAGCAUUUACACAAUAACCGGAUCAUUCAUCGUGAUGUGAAAGGGAACAACAUUCUCCUGACAACAGAAGGUGGAGUCAAGCUCGUUGACUUUGGUGUUUCAGCCCAGCUCACCAGCACACGGCUGCGUAGAAACACCUCCGUGGGAACACCCUUUUGGAUGGCACCUGAGGUCAUUGCUUGUGAACAACAGUAUGACUACUCAUACGAUGCGCGAUGUGACGUAUGGUCCUUGGGAAUAACAGCUAUUGAACUGGGGGAUGGAGAUCCUCCUUUAUUUGACAUGCAUCCGGUGAAAACCCUUUUUAAGAUUCCAAGGAAUCCUCCUCCUACUUUGCUACAUCCUGAAAAAUGGUGCAGAGGAUUCAACCAUUUCAUUUCACAGUGUCUUAUCAAGGAUUUUGAAAAGCGUCCUUCAGUCACCCAUCUUUUGGAGCAUCCAUUUAUUAAACAAGUACAUGGUAAAGAUAUGUCUCUGCAAAAGCAGCUGGCUGAGCUAAUCCAAGAACAGCAGCAACUAGGCUCCAUAGCCAAAACAAGGUACUGUACAACAUAUAUGCUCCAGCCCUCCUUCACCACCCUAAUUGUAGAAGCACAAGUUGAAACUUUGAAUGCACAGACAUGUACUGUUUCAAAUGAUUGUAUUAAUGCAUUGACUAGCAGUAUUAUUUGCAAUAAGUGCUGCAUGCCAUGUGAAUGCAAGAAAUAUGUUUUCCCAUUGACAGUUUUUAAAGCUAAUUUGAUCAGCCAUAAUGCAACCUUCUCCUUAGCCUUCUUUCUCCCACUGAACUCUUUCUCCAAGCUUUACCAUGGUGUGAAGCGUUCAUCAAAUCCCCCCCACAUAUUUGCCUCUGCAGAUGCUGCCUACCAAAGUAUGGUUACCUUCAGCAAAGAUCAGUGCAUUAUCAUCAGUGGGGAAAGUGGUGCUGGAAAGACAGAAAGUGCCCAUCUGAUUGUCCAACAUUUGACCUUCUUGGGAAAGGCCAAUAACCGUGCUUUGCGUGAGAAAAUUCUUCAGGUGAAUCCUCUGGUUGAAGCAUUUGGGAAUGCCUGCACUGCCAUCAAUGACAACUCAAGUCGCUUCGGAAAAUACCUGGAAAUGAUGUUUACACCUACAGGAGCUGUAAUGGGGGCAAAGAUUUCUGAAUAUCUACUUGAAAAAUCAAGGGUCAUAAAACAGGCUGUGGGAGAAAAAAAUUUCCAUAUAUUUUAUUAUAUUUAUGCUGGCCUUUAUCACCAGAGGAAACUUUCUGAAUAUAGACUUCCCGAUAAAAAGCCUCCUAGAUAUAUUGAUAAUGAAACUGGAAGAGUCAUGCAUGAUAUUGUUACUAAAGAUUCCUAUGGAAGACAGUUUGAAGCAAUUCAGCAUUGUUUUAGAAUUAUAGGAUUCACUGACGAGGAAGUGUACUCAGUGUACAGAAUUCUGACUGGAAUCUUAAAUACUGGAAAUAUUGAGUUUGCUGCCAUUUCUUCACAACACCAAACAGAUAAAAGUGAGGUUCCCAACCCAGAAGCCUUAGAUAAUGCUGCUGCACUACUAAGUAUUGGGUCAGAAGAACUUCAAGAGGCCCUAACCUCCCAUUGUGUUGUAACACGAGGGGAGACUAUUAUCCGAACAAACACAGUGGACAAAGCAGCUGACGUGCGAGAUGCCAUGUCUAAAGCACUUUAUGGCCGGCUCUUCAGCUGGAUCGUAAAUCGUAUUAAUACGCUGCUUCAGCCAGAUAAAAAUAUAUGCAAUGCUGAAAAUGGGAUGAAUGUUGGAAUACUAGACAUAUUUGGAUUUGAGAACUUCGCAAGAAAUUCCUUUGAACAGCUGUGCAUAAAUAUUGCUAAUGAACAGAUCCAGUUUUAUUUCAAUCAACAUAUCUUUGCACUUGAGCAGAUGGAAUAUCAGAGUGAGGGAAUUGAUGCUGCUACAGUGGAGUAUGAGGACAACCGUCCACUUCUAGAUAUGUUCCUCCAGAAACCCAUGGGUCUCCUGUCUCUACUAGAUGAAGAAAGUCGAUUUCCUCAGGCAACAGACCUAACUUUAGUUGAUAAAUUUGAAGAUAACUUACGAUGCAAAUACUUUUGGAGACCAAAAGGAGUAGAACUGUCAUUUGGUAUUCAGCACUAUGCUGGAAAGGUUUUAUAUGAUGCCUGUGCAUUCCUUGAGAAGAACAGAGACACUCUUCCUGCUGAUGUAGUAGUGGUGUUGCGAACCUCAGAGAACAAACUUCUUCAGCAGCUGUUCUCUAGCCCAUUAACAAAAACAGGUAACUUGGCACAAGCAAGAGCCAGAGUGACAGCAGCAUCUAGGUCUUUGCCUCUACAGCUUAGUACUGGGCGUAUCAAGGUUGACACAAUGGAAGUUAUGCGACACCCUGAGGAAACAACUAACAUGAAGCGGCAAACUAUGGCUUCUUAUUUUAGGUAUUCCCUCAUGGAUCUUUUAUCCAAAAUGGUUGUUGGACAGCCUCACUUUAUCCGCUGCAUUAAACCUAAUGAUGAUCGAGAAGCACUGAUGUUUUCUCAUGAGAGAGUUCUACUGCAGCUACAAUACACUGGAAUUCUGGAAACUGUCAAAAUACGUCAAAAAGGGUAUUCUCAUCGCAUCCUCUUUGAAGAGUUUGUGAAAAGGUAUUAUUACCUUGCAUUCAAGGCACACGAGACUCCCCUUGGUAGCAGAGAAAAUUGCCUUGCCAUUUUGGAGAAAUCUAAACUAGACAACUGGAUUCUUGGGAAAACCAAGGUUUUUCUAAAGUAUUAUCAUAUAGAGCAGUUAAACUUGUUCCUGCGAGAAGUUAUAGGGAGGGUGGUGGUCAUGCAAGCCUAUAUCAAGGGAUGGCUUGGAGCAAGGAGGUACAAGAAAGUCAAAGAGAAAAGAGAAAAUAGUGCUGUUACCAUACAGUCAGCCUGGAGAGGAUAUGAAGCUCGCAGGAAGUACAAGGAAAUAAGGAACAGAAGAACUGAUGCUGCUAUACAUAUUCAAGCAGGUAAUUAUUUCAAUUGCCAACACCUAUUUUGCUGUGGACGUUCACAGCACCUGGCACAGCUUAAAACUAAAUUGUGUUAUGUUACUGUAGGUUCAGAAAACUGUCUUGAACAGAAGCUGAGAACACCUCGUCGACGAUGUCAGCAGCCCAAAAUGCUGAAUAGCCCUGAGGACAACAUGUACUAUAACCAGUUAAACGGAACUCUAGAAUAUCAAGGGAGCAAGAGGAAGCCAAGAAAACUUGGGUAA